GGUUUGGUACGUGCACACUGACCAGACCAAGGUGGUGGCAGUUCGUGUAGUGCAGGACCUUGUGAUUUGGCCAGGGGUGGGUGCUCCUCUUUGGCACAGUAUGUUCUGUCAGCCAGGGCUUUUCCUGUGCUCUGAGUAAAAAUAAAGCCAUUUUAGUUAGAUUUAGAUACAGCCUUGAAUGCCCAGUGGAAAAAUAAACAGCAGUUUAUAAGUCAUUUACUGUACUGCAGAGAUAACAUUUCAGGCUUGGAGGGAGACCACCUUGCAUGGGUCAGCUGAGCCCACAGAGUGUUUGUGACUGAAUAACAUGGGAGUAAGUGUCACCGAAAGCCUAAAAUCCUCACCCAGGCAAGGCUCGCCGUCCUCCGCCUGAGCUCAGCGGUGAGCAUGCCCCCUGAAAGGCAGCUUAAUUAAUUAAAAGGUUAAACCCAACAAUCAGCAGCUUUGAUUUUGUAAGUAAGAACAUGUAUGAAAAUACAGUGGCAUUUCAGCCUGCAGACCCAGCUGGGAUGUACAAUGCAGGUCAGCACUGCACAAAGCUUACCAGCUGGCACCUGAACUUGCUAACUGCCCGUCAUCUUAGAAUCAUAGAAUGGUUUGGGUUGGAAAGGACCUUAAGAUCAUCCAGUUCCAACCCCCUGCCAUGGGCAGGAACAGCUUCCACUAGCUCAGGUUGCCCAGAACCACAUCCAGCCUGGCCGUGAAUGACUCCAAGGAUGGUGCAUCCACCACCUCUCUGGGCAGCCUCUAAAGAAGGAGCAGAUUGUCGGGUGCCAGAGCAGAGACCCAACAUGUAGGUUUGAUGCCACCAAACAAAGCAUGGGAGUGUGCAGAGGGGGGCAUGAAUGGGACCUGUGUGUGCAGCUCCAAAGUUGCCCCAUUGCCCUGAUUGGUCACAUGCCCUUGGCUUCCAGUGGUUGCUGAUUUCUGGUUGGCCUGGCACUCUUGGGUCCCAGUUACUCCUGAUCUCUGAUUGGCCAAGCACUCCCAUGUUCUACCUGUUCUGUCCCCUAGCUCUGUGCUAACCGCGGGCUGCUCCACUGGGGCACCCCCCACCACAGACCAAGGAGCAGCCACCACUGGUGCUGGCGUUCAGGGGCAGGCACGAUGGCUGGGCACUGCAGGCAGCCCCAGGGCUCCAUGGUGGGGCAGAGACCUCCAUGGCUUCUGCGCCCCCAUUGGCCCCCUGCCUUCGGGUCUAGGUAUGCCUUGGGCACAGGCUGGCCAGGAGCCUUGAACCCCCAAUCCCUCAUUGGGCAAGGAAUGUUGGGGAGAGGUUGGUCCUGGUGGCUGAUUGGCCAGCACCUUUGGGUUACAUUCAGGUCUAACGCUGUGAUUGGGCAGUGCUGUUGGGCCUAAAGAGUGCUCUACCCCUAUCGAGAUAGAAAACUUGCUCCCAGUUGCUCCUGGGCUGUAAUUGGCCAUCUGCCCCAGUGUUCAAGUUGCCCCAUU
This 1452-nucleotide long non-coding RNA is filed under the name Strigops habroptila (Kakapo). RNAcentral's name for it is "lncRNA (ENSSHBG00005015119.1)". The record is from RNAcentral. Lineage: Eukaryota; Metazoa; Chordata; Aves; Psittaciformes; Psittacidae.